Molecule: RNA transcript, 3044 nt
Organism: Carya illinoinensis
Lineage: Eukaryota; Viridiplantae; Streptophyta; Magnoliopsida; Fagales; Juglandaceae
Gene name: G-type lectin S-receptor-like serine/threonine-protein kinase At4g27290
Exons: 8
Source: RefSeq, a predicted model, not a curated record
CAUGAAUCCAUCUCUCAUUCUCGGCUUGGUCUCCCUCCCGAGUUCUCUCUCUCAACUCAGACCCCCUCUCCUUUUAUAUAUAUAUAUAGAAGCAAUUUGCUGUUCUCCCCAUAUAUCUUCGUCUGCAUUUACGAUACAUACACUGAAACACAUUACCUUUUCCCAAACAGAAGGAGAUAAGCCAUUAGAAAAUCAAUGGCCGAAGCCUGUACCUAUUUUUUUCUAUCCUCUCUAUUGUUCUCCCUCUUAGAAACAUCCAAUUCGUUGGACACUCUUCCUUCCAAUCAAUCAAUCAGAGACGGCGACACGUUAGUUUCAGCCGGUGGAACAUUUGAAAUGGGAUUUUUCAGCCCAGGCAGUUCAAAAAGCCGAUACGUUGGAAUAUGGUACGCGAUAUCUUCUGGGACAGUCGUAUGGGUGGCUAACAGAGACACUCCGCUUAACGAUCACUCCGGAGUUUUAACGAUCACCGAUGAAGGAGUUCUUGCCCUUCUCAAUAGCACAAAUAAUGUUGUUUGGUCCACUAAUAUAUCAAGAACAGCAGAAAAUCCAGUUGCACAGCUCCUGGAUACUGGAAAUCUUGUUGUGAAAGAUGGAAAUGUUGAUGACCCAGAGAGAUUUUUGUGGCAGAGUUUUGAUUAUCCUUGUGACACAUUACUACCAAAAAUGAAGAUUGGAAGGGACUUGGUAACUGGUCUAGAUAGAAUCAUGUCAUCUUGGAAGAGCACGGAAGAUCCUGCUCGAGGUGAUUUUACAGUAAGGUUAGAUCCUCGUGGGCUUCCGCAAAGGGUUCUGAUGAAGGGGAAUACGAUAAAGGCUAGAACGGGGUCAUGGAAUGGUCUUCGUUUUACGGGAUACCCGGGCGUAACUCGGAAUCCAGUGUUCGACUAUGAAUUCGUGAUGAAUCAGAACGAGGUGUAUUUUGAUUUCACACUCGUAAACACUUCUGUUUUUUCAAGAUAUACAAUAAACCCAUCUGGCGUUGCGCAGCGGUUUGUGUGGAUGGAUCGAACUCGCAGUUGGGAGCUUUACGCCACAUCCCAGCCAGAUGCGUGUCAAACUUAUGCAUUCUGUGGGGCAUACGCUACCUGCGAUCGCGAUAACUCUCCUGCAUGUGCAUGCUUGAAAGGGUUCUUACCCAAGUCUCCAAAAGAUUGGAAAUCAAUAGAUUGGUCUGACGGAUGUGUUCGAAGGACUCCAUUGGUAUGCAAUAUUGGAGAUGGCUUCCUCAAGUACACGGGGUUGAAAUUACCCGACACAUCUUCUUCCUGGUUUAAUGCGACCCUGAGCCUCGAUGAAUGCGAGGGAUUGUGCUUGAAAAACUGCUCUUGCACAGCAUAUUCCAAUUUAGAUAUUAGGGGAAAAGGGAGUGGCUGCUUGCUUUGGUUGGGGAAACUGAUUGACACUGUUGUGUACUCUCAGGGUGGGCAAGAUCUAUACAUAAAAGUGGCCAGUUCAGAACUAGAAAAUAAUGGGAAUAAGGGGAACACCAGCAAGAUAAAACGAGCAGGAAUCAUAGCCGGCGCUGUAGUAUUAGUGAAUGGAAUUCUAGCACUUGGAUUGAUCUCAUACAUACGGAAGAAGAAGUCUAGUUUCAAAGGAAUGACAAAAAGAAGACCCGAGAAAGAUUGUGAAAAUGAAGGCCUGAAGGAAGACAUGGAGUUACCGAUAAUUGAUUUGACAGCCAUAGCUAAUGCCACUAAUAACUUUUCAAGCAACAACAAGCUGGGAGAAGGUGGAUUUGGACCUGUGUAUAAGGGUACACUGCCAGAAGGGCAAGUGAUAGCUGUGAAGAGGCUUUCAACGAAUUCCGGACAAGGACCUAUUGAGUUCAUAAAUGAAGUAAAAUUGAUUGCCAAACUUCAGCACCGCAAUCUUGUAAAGCUUCUAGGGUGUUGCACGGAAGAAAAUGAGAAAAUUUUGAUCUACGAAUACAUGCCUAACAAAAGCUUGGAGUCCUUUAUUUUUGACGAGACAAAGAGCAAAUUAUUAGAUUUGCGCAAGCGCAUUGACAUUAUUGGUGGCAUUGCCAAAGGACUUCUCUAUCUUCACGAAGAUUCUAGACUGAGGGUCAUCCAUAGAGAUCUCAAAGCUAGCAAUAUCUUACUAGAUAUGGAAAUGAAUCCGAAAAUUUCGGACUUUGGCCUGGCUAGAUCAUUUCAGGGAGAUCAAAUUGUGUCCAAGACCCAUAGGAUUGUUGGAACAUAUGGCUACAUGUCUCCCGAGUAUGCAGUGCAUGGGCAGUACUCUGUGAAAUCUGAUGUCUUUAGCUUUGGAGUUUUAGUAUUGGAGAUCUUGAGUGGGAAGAAGAACAGGGGAUUCUGCCAUCCAGACCACCACCUCAAUCUUCUUGGACAUGCAUGGAGACUAUGGAUUGUAGACAGAGCAAUGGAACUGAUCGAUGAAUCAGUAGUUGAUGCACACACACGAUCUGAAGUGUUAAGACUAAUUCAAGUGGGUCUGUUAUGUGUGCAGCAAAGACCUGAAGAUAGACCAAACAUGUCUUAUGUGGUUCUAAUGUUAGGCAGUGAAGUUUUAUUGCCUAUCCCCAGGCAGCCGGGUUUCUAUGCCGAUUUAUCGGUAGCAGAUUCUCCAUCUAGCAACAACGCAACUUAUUCAGCAAAUGGAAUCAGCAUCUCAACAUUCGAAGCACGGUAGAUACUAUCACUUGGUGCAAAGGGGGGGAGUGGUUCUUUUGAAAUUUGUACAGUCAGAACAAAAGGAGUAAAGGAGCACCUAUAACUGCAAAAAUUCUGUUGAUUGCAAAGUCUAGGCAUUCAUCGAUGUAGAUGCUGUUGUACUUAUUGUUGGUGGUCUUAAUGAAAUCAUAGAUGAUGAAGACUCUGUGGCAGAGAUUCAAAAUGGAUGGGAGAACUCACGAUGGUAAAGAAGAGUCCUCGGGAGACUUUAAGAGCCAGGAAUCAAUAUCUUUUCAUUCUGAAGAGCAUGUCAAUGAUAUAUGCAUUUAAUUUGUGUUGUACAUCCAUGGAGCUAUAGAAAAUUUUAUUCAGAGGAAAAUAGAAAUACACUGUUGAGCAAUACAA